RNAcentral lists this long non-coding RNA (410 nucleotides) under Olea europaea subsp. europaea. Lineage: Eukaryota; Viridiplantae; Streptophyta; Magnoliopsida; Lamiales; Oleaceae. The record is from RNAcentral.
CUUGAAGAUAGCAAAGCUUGUAAUAAGAUAAUCACUUAUGGAGUUCUAAACUUCAUAAGGUGAGUACCAAAGGUAUGUAAAUAUAGAUUGUAAGCAUGUAUUAUUUCAGUUUAUGAAUAUCAAAGUAAAGUUUGUUAUGUUCAACAAAGUUUUCAUAAAAGGAUUUCAUUAAGUUUCUCAUGAUUCCUCGACAAUACAGAUAGAGAUUUUAAAAUAUUUUCAAAACAUUGAUUUUGAAUGGAUGUUAGUCAUGCCAAAGUACCCGUCUUUGAUGAAUGGUUUAGGGGAAAAAAUGCAGUUUUCUAACAAAAUUGUAGCACCUUGUGUGUGAGUUAUCUUUUAAAAUUUCGUUCCAAGUAAGAACUUGAUUCUGAAAAGAGUUUGGAUAGAGGUGAAAACAGAGACUCUGG